This 329-nucleotide unclassified non-coding RNA is filed under the name soil metagenome. RNAcentral's name for it is "partial contains 5.8S ribosomal RNA, internal transcribed spacer 2, and large subunit ribosomal RNA". The stretch from base 1 to 120 matches the Rfam family "5.8S ribosomal RNA", at positions 35 to 154 of the family's 154-position model. The record is from RNAcentral.
GAUGAAGAACGUAGCGAAAUGCGAUAAGUAAUGUGAAUUGCAGAAUUCAGUGAAUCAUCGAAUCUUUGAACGCACAUUGCGCCCUCUGGUAUUCCGGGGGGCAUGCCUGUUCGAGCGUCAUUAUAACCACUCAAGCUCUCGCUUGGUAUUGGGGCUCGCGGUUCCGCGGCCCCUAAAAUCAGUGGCGGUGCCUGUCGGCUCUACGCGUAGUAAUACUCCUCGCGAUUGAGUCCAGUAGGUCUACUUGCCAACAACCCCCAAUUUUUACAGGUUGACCUCGGAUCAGGUAGGGAUACCCGCUGAACUUAAGCAUAUCAAUAAGCGGAGGA